GAAGCUUUCCCAGAGCCGGUGGAGGCCGGAGUAUUGGUCUGGAGUUGGGUAGGGACCUGCGGAAAGGCUAACCCCAAUGCUCCCCUAGGGAGGAGGCGAGGCGGGUUUCCCUAGUUUGUGAGGACAAGGAAGAUUGGGGGAUUCAUGUCCUUCCUUCCUCAGAUGGAAGACGUUGCUUUUUUUAAUGUCACCUCUCUGGCCCUCGACGCUAGGAAAUAAAUAAUCGGUGGGAUAGGAGGGCAGCACUCAGAGGACCCUCUAAUUCUUUCAGUUUGGGGGGCGGGGAGGCGAUGCAGAUUUCAAUUCUGUCUUUGUCACCCUCUUGGACUUUGUCGCAUUGGAAAUGUCAUUUUCCCUUUCUCCCAUUUGAACGUGUGCUAAAUUCUUGCUGUGAGAAGCGCAUCUUCGGGCAGGAACAGAUAAACCCCGCUCUAGCAGGGUUUGGGGGUGGGAGCGGAGGCUUGGUAAGUGGUGUGAAGCAGAAAGUACUGAAUAUUGUGCGGGCAGAGACCUGGAGGCCUUGGGGUCGGACAGGCUUUUGGCGGACAGACGUCCCAGACGUGACUUUGUGCUUAUGAGCUGACAGUGAGGUCUGAGCAGGGGUCGACGGGAUGUGGGGAAGAAUGUUCCAGGCAGUGGGAACAGCCGGGAAGGAAGGCCGGCAUCCAGAGGUAUGCUGGUGUUUGGAGGAACGGAAACAAGUUCAGUGAGAGCGCCAGAGUGCUGGGUCGAAGAGUAACAGCUGACCCGGAGCCGGUGAUGUCCUUAUUCUGAAGCAGAGAGAAAUCAGUCUCCUGAGCUGAAGUCAUGUGCCCAAGGUCCUGUAAUGGCAGCCUGGAUCCCAGGUUUAAUUUUGCUGAAGAAACUGAAGACUGAAGUCACAUGCAAGUUAUAAGCAAAGCCAGGACCAGAAUCCAGACUCCUUACUCCUACUCCAGCUCUCUUACCAUCAAGUCAAUUUAAGAAUUAAAAAAAAAUUUUUUCCCCCGAAACAUCUUCCUGCACUGGGUUGUCCCCAAAGGCUUUGGAGACCCCUGUUAGACUGCAGCCACCACCUGGGAGGCAUGACACAGUGACCCCUGAACUCAGAUGUU
This is a long non-coding RNA of Pteronotus mesoamericanus, 1094 nucleotides long. RefSeq lists it as uncharacterized. The transcript is spliced from 3 exons. Lineage: Eukaryota; Metazoa; Chordata; Mammalia; Chiroptera; Mormoopidae. The record is from RefSeq and is a predicted model, not a curated record.